This 623-nucleotide ribosomal RNA is filed under the name Apiospora camelliae-sinensis. RNAcentral describes it as "Arthrinium camelliae-sinensis partial large subunit ribosomal RNA". It matches the Rfam family "Eukaryotic large subunit ribosomal RNA", at positions 61 to 706 of the family's 3401-position model. Lineage: Eukaryota; Fungi; Ascomycota; Sordariomycetes; Amphisphaeriales; Apiosporaceae. The record is from RNAcentral.
AAGACCACAGGGAUUCCCCUAGUAACGGCGAGUGAAGCGGGAACAGCUCAAAUUUGAAAUCUGGCCCUUGGGUCCGAGUUGUAAUUUGCAGAGGAUGCUUUUGGUGCGGUGCCUUCCGAGUUCCCUGGAACGGGACGCCUUAGAGGGUGAGAGCCCCGUACGGUUGGACACCAAGCCUAUGUAAAGCUCCUUCGACGAGUCGAGUAGUUUGGGAAUGCUGCUCAAAAUGGGAGGUAUAUUUCUUCUAAAGCUAAAUAUUGGCCAGAGACCGAUAGCGCACAAGUAGAGUGAUCGAAAGAUGAAAAGCACUUUGAAAAGAGGGUUAAAUAGCACGUGAAAUUGUUGAAAGGGAAGGAUUUAUGACCAGACUUUUUCUGGGGGGAUCAUCCGGUGUUCUCACCGGUGCACUUCCCCCAGUUGAGGCCAGCAUCGGUUUCUGUCGAGGGAUAAAAGCUUUAGGAAUGUGGCUCCUUUCGGGGAGUGUUAUAGCCUGUUGCAUAAUACCUUGACGGGGACCGAGGUUCGCGCAUUGCAAGGAUGCUGGCGUAAUGGUUAUUAAUCACCCGUCUUGAAACACGGACCAAGGAGUCGAACAUUUGUGCGAGUGNGGGGGGGUGGGAAAA